CUAAUCAGUAUCAAAUCUACAGUGAGUCAUUCAAACAGCAUGACAUAACUGGCCGCGCUUUGCUGAGACUUACUGACAAAAAGCUUGAACGAAUGGGCAUUGCCCAGGAAAGCCUGCGACAGCACAUUCUGCAGCAAGUCCUUCAGCUGAAGGUGAGAGAAGAAGUCCGAAACCUCCAACUGCUUACACAAGGUACAGGACACAGCACCAAUAACUGGAAAUUACGCACCUGCCUGAAAAGGAACUUGAACAAUCAGAAAAUUUGA
This 266-nucleotide long non-coding RNA is filed under the name Phasianus colchicus (ring-necked pheasant). RNAcentral's name for it is "lncRNA (ENSPCLG00000003163.1)". Lineage: Eukaryota; Metazoa; Chordata; Aves; Galliformes; Phasianidae. The record is from RNAcentral.